UCCAGACUCCUACGGGAGGCAGCAGUGAGGAAUAUUGGUCAAUGGGCGGGAGCCUGAACCAGCCAAGUCGCGUGAGGGAUGACGGCCCUAUGGGUUGUAAACCUCUUUUGCCGGGGAGCAAAGUGCCGCACGUGUGCGGUUUGGAGAGUACCCGGAGAAAAAGCAUCGGCUAACUCCGUGCCAGCAGCCGCGGUAAUACGGAGGAUGCGAGCGUUAUCCGGAUUUACUGGGUGUAAAGGGAGCGUAGACGGCUGUGCAAGUCUGAAGUGAAAGCCCGUGGCUCAACCGCGGAACUGCUUUGGAAACUGUAUAGCUUGAGUACUGGAGAGGCAGGCGGAAUUCCUAGUGUAGCGGUGAAAUGCGUAGAUAUUAGGAGGAACACCAGUGGCGAAGGCGGCCUGCUGGACAGAAACUGACGUUGAGGCUCGAAAGCGUGGGGAGCAAACAGGAUUAGAUACCCGAGUAGG
RNAcentral lists this ribosomal RNA (467 nucleotides) under uncultured bacterium. Its description in RNAcentral is "bacterial SSU rRNA". It matches the Rfam family "Bacterial small subunit ribosomal RNA", at positions 330 to 794 of the family's 1533-position model. The record is from RNAcentral.